Molecule: ribosomal RNA, 252 nt
Filed under: Condylostoma magnum
Lineage: Eukaryota; Ciliophora; Heterotrichea; Heterotrichida; Condylostomatidae
Description: partial Bacterial large subunit ribosomal RNA
Rfam family: Bacterial large subunit ribosomal RNA
Source: RNAcentral
AUAGUACCUGAAACCAUGUGCCUACAAACCGUUGGAGCCUCCUUGUGGGGUGACAGCGUGCCUUUUGAAGAAUGAGCCUGCGAGUUAGUGAUACGUGGCGAGGUUAACCCGUGUGGGGAAGCCGUAGCGAAAGCGAGUCUGAAUAGGGCGAUUGAGUCGCGUGUCCUAGACCCGAAGCGGAGUGAUCUACCCAUGGCCAGGUUGAAGCGCGUGUAAGAGCGCGUGGAGGACCGAACCCACUUCAGUUGAAAA